ACAAUUCCGAAUUACUGCUGUGCAGGAACGCCGCCGCCGAUGCAGCCACAGAGGAGGAGGCAGCAGCGACCAGCCCCGAUCUGUAGAGAACCACUUCCUGAACGUCGGAAGAUUCGACUUUCCACGGGCCGUAGACACCUGGAUAGACGGCGUUUGAAUCGGGCUGUUCGCCGACGGCUUGGCAUUUGACGGAGAGCGAGGAGCGGCGGGUAUUGAUGGGAGGCGGAGUGGGGCGGAGGAGCAGAGAGUGAGGUGAGGGUUUUGGGUAGAGAUGAAGAAUGUUGCUGUUAGCUAUCAUGGUUUUGGGGAAUAUAGUUAACGGAUACGAACCACUCCUGCCCGCUAUUUUUGGUUUAGUUACGAAAACCAACUUCCCUUUUCUCUCUCUCAACUCUCAAUAAAUAAAAAUAAAUUAUUUUAUGUGAUGAUGGUUUAAGCUGGAGAGAUUUUGAUUUGAGGAAAUUGUCUUGGAGUUUUUCAACAUCUUGCGCUCAUCAAUUCCUCUAUUACUCUUGUCCUCUUGCCUUGAGCGGUAGUUAAACUGUGUAUCUCUUGAUUAAUAGUAAUACCAUAAACUGCAACAUUCUCUUUCAAUACUCAGUUCCAUUUUCUCCAUGCUUCAGGGAAGCUCUCAUCUUCAAUGCUACUCUAGCUCUCUCUCAUCGGGUGAUCAAGCAGCUCAUAUAUGUCGGUUUUUUCUUUAAAUCUUAUCCAUUCAAGAUCAUCAACACCUUCCCAAUCUCUAAAUGUGCUCUGUCUUCCUCAUUUUUGCCUUUUCCUCUUCCUACAUUAAAAGUGUCCUCCCCAACACAAAAUACAAAAAAAUAAAUUAAAAAAGACUCUAUCUAAACUUAAACACGGCACGAAAAGAGCACAAAAACUUGAGCUCGUGGCACGCACGUUCCUUUAAUCACACUUGUCCUCAAGCAUACACGCACAAUUUGUCCAAAAAAAUAAAAAUAAAGACUCAAGACAUCUAAAGUC
RNAcentral lists this long non-coding RNA (984 nucleotides) under Salvia miltiorrhiza (redroot sage). RNAcentral's name for it is "long non-coding RNA (SMIL_LNC011015)". The record is from RNAcentral. Lineage: Eukaryota; Viridiplantae; Streptophyta; Magnoliopsida; Lamiales; Lamiaceae.